RNAcentral lists this ribosomal RNA (1384 nucleotides) under uncultured bacterium. RNAcentral describes it as "16S ribosomal RNA". It matches the Rfam family "Bacterial small subunit ribosomal RNA". The record is from RNAcentral.
AGAGUUUGAUCCUGGCUCAGGAUGAACGCUGGCGGCGUGCUUAACACAUGCAAGUCGAACGGAGUUAUUUUUUAAGCUUGCUUUUAAAAUAACUUAUUGGAGGACGGGUGAGAAACGCGAGGGUAACCUGCCGAAUACGGGGGGAUAACGCUGAUAAAUAGGUGCUAAUACCGCAUAAGCGCACAGGAACCCAUGGACUGGUGUGAAAAAGUCCAGAGGCAUACGAGGGACCCGAGUCAGAUUAGAUAGAUGGUGAGGUAACGGCCCACCAGGUCAACCAUCGGUACCCGGCCUGAGAGGGUGAACAGGCACAUUGGGACUGAUACGCGGCCCACACUCCUACGAGAGGCAGCAGAGGGGAAUAUGGGACAAUGGGGGAAACCCUGAUCCACCUACGCCGCGUGAGUGAAGAAAUAUAUCAGUGUGUAAAGCUCUAUCAGCACGGAAGAUAAUGACGAUACCUGACUAACAAGCUCCGGAUAAAUACGUGCCAUCCGCCGCGGUAAUACCUAUGGAGCAAGCGUUAUCCGGAUUUACUGGAUGUAAAGGGAGCGUAGACGAGCAUGGGAAGUCUGAUGUGAAAAUCCCGGGCUCAACCCGGGAACUGCAUUGAGAAACUGUUAAGCUAGAGUGCACGAGAGGUAAGUGGAAUUCCUAGAGUAGCGGAGAAAUGCGUAGAUAUUAGGAGGAACACCAAUGGGCGAAGGCGGCUUACUGGUCUGUAACUGACGUUGAGGCUGGAAAGCGUGGGGAGCAAACAGGAUCAGAUACCCAGGUAGUCCUCGCCGUAACCGAUGAAUACUAGGUGUCGGGGGUUUAUGAACCUUCGGUUCCGCAGCAAACGCAAUAAGUAUUCCACUUGGGGAGUACGUUCGCAUGAAUGAAACUCAAAUGAAUUGACGGGGACCCGCACAAGCGGUGGAGCAUGUGGUUUAAUUCGAAGCAACGCGAAGAACCUUACCAAGUCUUGACAUCCCAUUGACCGGGACUUAAUCGUCUUUUUUGUUCGGAACAAUCGAGACAGGUGGUGCAUGGUUGUUGUCAGCUUGUGUUGUGAGAUGUUGGGUUAAGUCCCGCAACGAGCGCCACCCCUGUCCUUAGUAGCCAGCCGUUAGAUGGGCCCUUUAGGGAGACUGCCCGGGAUCACCGGGAGGAAGGGGGGGAUGACGUCAAAUCAUCAUGCCCCUUAUGAUUUGGGCUACACACGUGCUACAAUGGCGUAAACAAAGGGAAGCGAGACUGUGAAGUUAAGCAAAUCUCAUAAAUAACGUCUCAGUUCGGAUUGUAGUCUGCAACUCGCCUCCAUGAAGCUGGAAUCGCUAGUAAUCGCGGAUCAGCAUGCCGCGGUGAAUACGUUCCCGGGUCUUGCACUCACCGCCCGUCA